AUUGAACGCUGGCGGCAGGCCUAACACAUGCAAGUCGAGCGGCAGCACGGGAAGCUCGCUUCCUGGUGGCGAGCGGCGGACGGGUGAGUAAUGCAUAGAAAUCUGCCCGGUAGUGGGGGAUAACCUGGGGAAACCCAGGCUAAUACCGCAUACGUCCUACGGGAGAAAGCAGGGGAUCUUCGGACCUUGCGCUAUCGGAUGAGUCUAUGUCGGAUUAGCUUGUUGGUGAGGUAAUGGCUCACCAAGGCGACGAUCCGUAGCUGGUCUGAGAGGAUGAUCAGCCACAUCGGGACUGAGACACGGCCCGA
RNAcentral lists this ribosomal RNA (308 nucleotides) under uncultured bacterium. RNAcentral's name for it is "bacterial SSU rRNA". It matches the Rfam family "Bacterial small subunit ribosomal RNA", at positions 30 to 334 of the family's 1533-position model. The record is from RNAcentral.